GGAGUCGGCCGGACAGUCGCUGCGGUGCUUGCACCGGGGAGGAAAGUCCGGGCUCCACAGGGCAGGAUGCCAGGUAACCCCUGGGCGGCGCGAGCCGACGGCCAGUGCAACAGAGAGCAAACCGCCGAACGGUCCUGCUGCCGCUCCGGUGGCGCGGGAUGCGUGGUAAGGGUGAAACGGUGCGGUAAGAGCGCACCGCCCGUGGGGCCAACGCCACGGGGCACGGUAAACCCCAUCCGGAGCAAGGUCGAAUAGGGACGCCAUGCCGUGGCCCGCGGUGCGUCCGGGUAGACCGCUGGAGCGGCGUGGUGACGCGUCGCCUAGAGGAAUGACUGUCCUCGACAGAACCCGGCUUACAGGCCGGCUCCGCAC
Molecule: RNase P RNA, 372 nt
Filed under: Lysobacterales bacterium
Lineage: Bacteria; Pseudomonadati; Pseudomonadota; Gammaproteobacteria; Lysobacterales
Description: RNase P RNA component class A
Rfam family: Bacterial RNase P class A
About the family: Ribonuclease P (RNase P) is a ubiquitous endoribonuclease, found in archaea, bacteria and eukarya as well as chloroplasts and mitochondria. Its best characterised activity is the generation of mature 5'-ends of tRNAs by cleaving the 5'-leader elements of precursor-tRNAs.
Source: RNAcentral